This 500-nucleotide ribosomal RNA is filed under the name uncultured bacterium. Its description in RNAcentral is "partial 16S ribosomal RNA". It matches the Rfam family "Bacterial small subunit ribosomal RNA", at positions 30 to 523 of the family's 1533-position model. The record is from RNAcentral.
AUUGAACGCUGGCGGCAGGCUUAACACAUGCAAGUCGAGCGGGCGAGGUUGCUUCGGUAACUGAGCUAGCGGCGGACGGGUGAGUAAUGUCUGGGAAACUGCCUGAUGGAGGGGGAUAACUACUGGAAACGGUAGCUAAUACCGCAUAACGUCGCAAGAACAAAGAGGGGGACCUUCGGGCCUCUUGCCAUCGGAUGUGCCCAGAUGGGAUUAGCUAGUUGGUGGGGUAACGGCUCACCAAGGCGACGAUCCCUAGCUGGUCUGAGAGGAUGACCAGCCACACUGGAACUGAGACACGGUCCAGACUCCUACGGGAGGCAGCAGUGGGGAAUAUUGCACAAUGGGCGCAAGCCUGAUGCAGCCAUGCCGCGUGUAUGAAGAAGGCCUUCGGGUUGUAAAGUACUUUCAGCGGGGAGGAAGGGAGUAAAGUUAAUACCUUUGCUCAUUGACGUUACCCGCAGAAGAAGCACCGGCUAACUCCGUGCCAGCCGCCGCAGUAA